This 73-nucleotide transfer RNA is filed under the name Ignavibacteriota bacterium. RNAcentral's name for it is "Ignavibacteriae bacterium (groundwater metagenome) tRNA-His". It matches the Rfam family "tRNA". From Rfam's summary of the family: Transfer RNA (tRNA) molecules are approximately 80 nucleotides in length. Their secondary structure includes four short double-helical elements and three loops (D, anti-codon, and T loops). The record is from RNAcentral. Lineage: Bacteria; Pseudomonadati; Ignavibacteriota.
GCGAACGUAGCUCAGUUGGUAGAGCAGCGGUUUGUGGUUCCGCUGGUCGUGGGUUCAAGCCCCAUCGUUCGCC